AAAAGUCGUAACAAGGUCUCCGUUGGUGAACCAGCGGAGGGAUCAUUACUGAGUUUACGCUCUACAACCCUUUGUGAACAUACCUAUAACUGUUGCUUCGGCGGGUAGGGUCUCCGCGACCCUCCCGGCCUCCCGCCUCCGGGCGGGUCGGCGCCCGCCGGAGGAUAACCAAACUCUGAUUUAACGACGUUUCUUCUGAGUGGUACAAGCAAAUAAUCAAAACUUUUAACAACGGAUCUCUUGGUUCUGGCAUCGAUGAAGAACGCAGCGAAAUGCGAUAAGUAAUGUGAAUUGCAGAAUUCAGUGAAUCAUCGAAUCUUUGAACGCACAUUGCGCCCGCCAGCAUUCUGGCGGGCAUGCCUGUUCGAGCGUCAUUUCAACCCUCAAGCUCUGCUUGGUGUUGGGGCCCUACAGCCGAUGUAGGCCCUCAAAGGUAGUGGCGGACCCUCCCGGAGCCUCCUUUGCGUAGUAACUUUACGUCUCGCACUGGGAUCCGGAGGGACUCUUGCCGUAAAACCCCCCAAUUUUCCAAAGGUUGACCUCGGAUCAGGUAGGAAUACCCGCUGAACUUAAGCAUAUCA
This 581-nucleotide ribosomal RNA is filed under the name Colletotrichum gloeosporioides. RNAcentral describes it as "eukaryotic LSU rRNA". The stretch from base 221 to 374 matches the Rfam family "5.8S ribosomal RNA". Lineage: Eukaryota; Fungi; Ascomycota; Sordariomycetes; Glomerellales; Glomerellaceae. The record is from RNAcentral.